GACUAUAAGUUCAACGGCCGCGGUAUUUUGACCGUGCGAAGGUAGCGUAAUCACCUGUCUUUUAAAUGGAGACCUGUAUGAAUGGCACGACGAGGGCUUGACUGUCUCCUUUUUCCAGUCGAUGAAAUUGAUCUCUCCGUGCAGAAGCGGGGAUACUAACAUAAGACGAGAAGACCCUAUGGAGCUUUAGACGCCAGGACAGACCAUGUCAAGCAACCCCAGACAAGGGGUCAAACCAAAUGCACCCUGUCCCAGUGUCUUUGGUUGGGGCGACCGCGGGGAACUACAAAACCCCCACGUGGAAUGGGAAUACCCUCCUACAACUGAGAGCUUCCGCUCUAGUGAACAGAAAUUCUGACCAGCAAGAUCCGGCAACGCCGAUUAACGGACCGAGUUACCCUAGGGAUAACAGCGCAAUCCCCUUUUAGAGCCCAUAUCGACAAGGGGGUUUACGACCUCGAUGUUGGAUCAGGACAUCCUAAUGGUGCAGCCGCUAUUAAGG
RNAcentral lists this ribosomal RNA (502 nucleotides) under Lateolabrax maculatus (spotted sea bass). RNAcentral describes it as "partial 16S ribosomal RNA". It matches the Rfam family "Bacterial large subunit ribosomal RNA", at positions 1909 to 2570 of the family's 2925-position model. The record is from RNAcentral. Lineage: Eukaryota; Metazoa; Chordata; Actinopteri; Acropomatiformes; Lateolabracidae.